AGCUCAUAUAAGGUAAAAGGCAGAGUGGCCUCUGUGGCCAGGGAGCCGCAGGCAAGGGACUAAGGGGAGGGGGGCUCAGUGCCAGCUGCUUAAAAAUGCCCCUGUGGCAGCGAGGGGCACCAGAGGCUGGGUCUAAUUAGUUGAGAAGCAGUGACACCCCCAACCACUCCCCAAACAGGCUGGCUCCCGUCUCCAGGCCCCAAGGAGCCACACCUGGACCAGACCCCAGGAAAGACAUGUGGUGGAAACCCUACGGCCCUGGAGCCCAAGGAGAGCAACGGCUGUAACAAGUGCACAGGCAAGGGCGCUAGCUGGUGGGAGCCACCCCGCCAUGCUGAUGUCAGAGAAGCAAGAACUCUGGAGAAGCAGCCUCCUGGGACCAGAGGAGGGCCAGCAGCAGGCAGCCCGGAGACAGAACUCUCACCCACGCCUCUCCAAGCCUCCCAACAGAAGACAGAGGUCCCCCACAGCCAGAGACAUUUCCUGAAGACAUGGGGAACACAGAGGCAGAAACAGCCCAUCCACCCAGGAGCUGUCCCCCACACUGCCGGGAGCCGGCACCCAGAGCCGCCAGGUAAAACUGAGGCCACCUGGUUCAACAUCACCUUUCACAGAAGGGGAAGCAGCCACAGAAAGAAGGGCCUCGUUAAGAAGUGGAACCUGGGACCCCCAAGCGGUGUCUCUCAUCCUGACUGGGGAUCCAGAGUAGGAGGGAGCCUUUGGUGGGGUUGGAGUCCCGCCACAGGCCACCAGAGCGGAGCAGCGCAGCGCCCUGUCUCCCAGCCUGAGGUGCAGUGCUGCAUCUCUGGUCAGUUGGGAGUCUGAGAUGAAGCACUGUAGCUCAGGAAGAGAGAAGUUGUUCUGCAGCCAUCAGCCUGGAAGUGCCUGGCUGGUGGGCCUUCUUGCAGUAGCUUCCCCUGGAGAAGAGGAAAAGCAAACCUUCAUUGAGACCCAAGCGGUCUCUCCUGUGCUCUGUGACAAUAAUAAAGUUCCAGCCCUUGGCAAAAAAAAAA
RNAcentral lists this long non-coding RNA (1013 nucleotides) under Homo sapiens (human). RNAcentral's name for it is "cardiac mesoderm enhancer-associated non-coding RNA (CARMN)". The stretch from base 774 to 857 matches the Rfam family "mir-143 microRNA precursor family". Lineage: Eukaryota; Metazoa; Chordata; Mammalia; Primates; Hominidae. The record is from RNAcentral.